UCCCUGGUAGCUCAGUGGUAAAGAAUCUGCCUGAGAUGCAGGAGACUCAGGUUCGAUCCCUGGGUUGGGAA
RNAcentral lists this transfer RNA (71 nucleotides) under Odocoileus virginianus texanus. It matches the Rfam family "tRNA". Rfam says of the family: Transfer RNA (tRNA) molecules are approximately 80 nucleotides in length. Their secondary structure includes four short double-helical elements and three loops (D, anti-codon, and T loops). Further hydrogen bonds mediate the characteristic L-shaped molecular structure. tRNAs have two regions of fundamental functional importance: the anti-codon, which is responsible for specific mRNA codon recognition, and the 3' end, to which the tRNAs corresponding amino acid is attached (by aminoacyl-tRNA synthetases). tRNAs cope with the degeneracy of the genetic code in two manners: having more than one tRNA (with a specific anti-codon) for a particular amino acid; and 'wobble' base-pairing, i.e. permitting non-standard base-pairing at the 3rd anti-codon position. The record is from Rfam by way of RNAcentral. RNAcentral also lists the same sequence under 1 other name. Lineage: Eukaryota; Metazoa; Chordata; Mammalia; Artiodactyla; Cervidae.